AAACUAGAGGCUCUAAAGAGCCUGUGUCGCUCACCUUGGUCUAUGUGAAUAUUAAAGGAAGCAGAUGGAUUCAUGACAAAAUUGUGUUUGGUGAUGGUGAUGUGUUUGUACAUCUUACUUUACUGAACAUUCUUGCUGCUUAAAAUUAUCUCUAUCUAUAAUGAACUUGGCCCAUUAGUUUCAGUGGAAAAAUGUUAGUAAAAAUUUACAAAUUUUAUGAAAAUUGUUAAAAAUUGACUAUAAAGAACAAUAACUCCUAAGGGGGUCAAUUGACCAUUUCAGUCAUGUUGACUUAUUUGUAAAUCUUACUUUGCUGAACAUUAUUGUUGUUUACAGUUUAUCUCUAUCAAUAAUAAUAUUCAAGAUAAUGACCAAAAACAGCAAAAUUUCCUUAAAACUAACAAUUCAGGGUCAGCAACCAAACAACGGGUUAUCCGAUUCAUCUAAAAAUUUCAGAGCAGAUAAAUGUUGACCUGAUAAACAAUUUUACUCCAUGUCAGAUUUGCUCUAAAUGCUUUGGGUUUUGAGUUGUAAGCCAAAAACUGCAUUUUACCCCAUGUUCUAUUUUUAGCCAUGGUGGCCAUCUUGGUUUGAUGGCCGGGUCAUCGGACACAUUUUUCAAACUACUAACCCAAAAGAUGAUUGUGGCCAAGUUUGGAUUAAUUUGGCCCAGUAGUUUCAGAGGAGAAGAUUUUUGUAAAAGAUAACUAAGAUUUAUGAAAAAUGGUUAAAAAUUGACUAUAAAGGGCAAUAACU
RNAcentral lists this long non-coding RNA (756 nucleotides) under Mytilus galloprovincialis (Mediterranean mussel). The record is from RNAcentral. Lineage: Eukaryota; Metazoa; Mollusca; Bivalvia; Mytilida; Mytilidae.